RNAcentral lists this ribosomal RNA (497 nucleotides) under uncultured bacterium. RNAcentral describes it as "partial 16S ribosomal RNA". It matches the Rfam family "Bacterial small subunit ribosomal RNA", at positions 28 to 507 of the family's 1533-position model. The record is from RNAcentral.
GAUGAACGCUGGCGGCGUGCCUAAUACAUGCAAGUCGAGCGAACGGACGAGAAGCUUGCUUCUCUGAUGUUAGCGGCGGACGGGUGAGUAACACGUGGAUAACCUACCUAUAAGACUGGGAUAACUUCGGGAAACCGGAGCUAAUACCGGAUAAUAUUUUGAACCGCAUGGUUCAAAAGUGAAAGACGGUCUUGCUGUCACUUAUAGAUGGAUCCGCGCUGCAUUAGCUAGUUGGUAAGGUAACGGCUUACCAAGGCAACGAUGCAUAGCCGACCUGAGAGGGGGAUCGGCCACCCUGGAGCUGAGACACGGUCCAGACUCCUAAGGGAGGCAGCAGUAGGGAAUGUUCGGCAAUGGGCGAAAGCCUGACGGAGCAACGCCGCGUGAGUGAUGAAGGUCUUCGGAUCGUAAAAAUCUGUUAUUAGGGAAGAACAUCUGUGUAAGUAACUGUGCACAGCUUGACGGUACCUAAUAAGAAAGCAACGGCUAACUACGUG